Molecule: non-coding RNA, 148 nt
Filed under: Nomascus leucogenys (northern white-cheeked gibbon)
Lineage: Eukaryota; Metazoa; Chordata; Mammalia; Primates; Hylobatidae
Source: Rfam by way of RNAcentral
GCUGGGCGCAGUGGCGUGCACCUGUAAUCCCAGCUACUUGGGAGGCUGAGGCAGGAGAAUCGCUUGAACCUUGGAGUCCGAGGUUGCAGUGAGCCGAAAUCACACCACUGCACUCCAGCCUGGGUGACAGAGCGAGACUCUGUCUAAA